GAAGAAACAACAAUGUGCGAUAAUUCACCAAGCUGUAGGUGCAUCAGGGAACCAUGCCUUUUGGCUAAUUCGGUCAAGCGGUGAUGGGGGGCAGAGAGAACAUUAAAAGGUGCAAGUGGCCAAUUAGAGGUAGCUUCCAUGGCGCAGGGGGUAGAUUCUUGGGCGAGUCCUUUAUUUUGGAUCUCAUCCAUAGCUUCAACACCAUGAAAAUGAAGACAAGGAAGGUGAAGGACAAUGGGAGCAGCUCGAAUUGGUUAUCCAUGGGAACCAGGCCUUUUGGCUAAUUCGGUCAAGCGGUGAUGGGGCAGAGAGAACAUUAAAAGGUGCAAGUGGCCAAUUAGAGGUAGCUUCCAUGGCGCAGGGGGUAGAUUCUUGGGCGAGUCCUUUAUUUUGGAUCUCAUCCAUAGCUUCAACACCAUGAAAAUGAAGACAAGGAAGGUGAAGGACAAUGGGAGCAGCUCGAAUUGGUUAUCCAUGUCCCUGAUAUGUCAACAUUGCGACACCAAAAAGACAUUGAACUGAUCAAAAGACUUGUGGUAUUCGAAGGUAUUUCAGGCAACACCUUUAGAUUUCUGUUAGACAACCAUUUCUUACGAGUGUGAAUCCCAAUCCAUAUUCUAUGAUGAACAAAGACGAUCUUUAAAAUCAA
This is a long non-coding RNA of Gossypium arboreum, 649 nucleotides long. RefSeq lists it as uncharacterized. The transcript is spliced from 3 exons. The record is from RefSeq and is a predicted model, not a curated record. Lineage: Eukaryota; Viridiplantae; Streptophyta; Magnoliopsida; Malvales; Malvaceae.